This 395-nucleotide unclassified non-coding RNA is filed under the name soil metagenome. Its description in RNAcentral is "partial contains 5.8S ribosomal RNA, internal transcribed spacer 2, and large subunit ribosomal RNA". The stretch from base 1 to 122 matches the Rfam family "5.8S ribosomal RNA", at positions 35 to 154 of the family's 154-position model. The record is from RNAcentral.
GAUGAAGAACGGAGCGAAAUGCGAUACUUGGUGUGAAUUGCAGAAUCCCGUGAACCAUCGAGUCUUUGAACGCAAGUUGCGCCCGAAGCCAUCAGGUUGAGGGCACGUCUGCCUGGGCGUCACAUAUCGUUGCCCAAUGCCUAUUGCAGUGCAAUAGGAAUUUCUAGGGCGAAUGAUGGCUUCCCGUGAGCGUUGUUGCCUCGCGGUUGGUUGAAAAUCGAGUCCUUGGUAGGGUGUGCCAUGGUAGAUGGUGGUCGAGUUAGAACGAUACCGAUCAUGUGCAUGCUCCCCAAAAUAUGGCCUCUAUGACCCACACGCGUCUUUUGACGCUCAUGACGAGACCUCAGGUCAGGCGGGGCUACCCGCUGAAUUUAAGCAUAUCAAUAAGCGGAGGA